RNAcentral lists this small RNA (403 nucleotides) under Rattus norvegicus (Norway rat). RNAcentral describes it as "uncharacterized LOC102549088". Lineage: Eukaryota; Metazoa; Chordata; Mammalia; Rodentia; Muridae. The record is from RNAcentral.
UCCAGAGGAAGGAAGGAACCCUGAGCAAUAGCAGGACAGUGUCUGAUGAUUCUGGGAUGGAAUCCACAUGUAGGAUAACUUCCCAGCCCACAUUCUGAAAUACCACUUGAAAGAAGACUUUUACUCUUGAGCCUCCUGCUUCAGAAGGGACAGCCACACCCCGUUUCAAGGCUAUACACACACCCAGGAUUGACACAUCUCACCAUGCCCUGGGAGGAAUUCAGCACAAACUAGAAGAAACAGAAUGGCAAAGAGCUGUUUUGACUCCACCACAUGAAAUGUCUACUGGCAAGACUUCCAUCUUCCCUCAGAGUCCUGGAAUUGCGAGGCUGGAUAGGUGACAGCUGGGACGACUUGCUGCUCUUCCGGAGGACCAGAGUUUGGUUACCAGAACUCACUCUGU